AUUGAACGCUGGCGGCAGGCCUAACACAUGCAAGUCGGGCGGUAGCACGGGAGAGCUUGCUCUCCGGGUGACGAGCGGCGGACGGGUGAGUAAUGUCUGGGAAACUGCCUGAUGGAGGGGGAUAACUACUGGAAACGGUAGCUAAUACCGCAUAACGUCGCAAGACCAAAGAGGGGGACCUUCGGGCCUCUUGCCAUCGGGUGUGCCCAGAUGGGAUUAGCUAGUAGGUGAGGUAAAGGCUCACCUAGGCGACGAUCCCUAGCUGGUCUGAGAGGAUGACCAGCCACACUGGAACUGAGACACGGUCCAGACUCCUACGGGAGGCAGCAGUGGGGAAUAUUGCACAAUGGGCGCAAGCCUGAUGCAGCCAUGCCGCGUGUAUGAAGAAGGCCUUCGGGUUGUAAAGUACUUUCAGCGGGGAGGAAGGUGUUGUGGUUAAUAACCGCAGCAAUUGACGUUACCCGCAGAAGAAGCACCGGCUAACUCCGUGCCAGCCGCCGCCGUAA
RNAcentral lists this ribosomal RNA (506 nucleotides) under uncultured bacterium. RNAcentral's name for it is "partial 16S ribosomal RNA". It matches the Rfam family "Bacterial small subunit ribosomal RNA", at positions 29 to 523 of the family's 1533-position model. The record is from RNAcentral.